GUGGAACCCUGAAAUCGUUGAAGGAUAAAUUUAGCAAGGAGGAGAAAGAAGUCCCAGAAGCAUCUGGUUUGAAGACCCUGAAAUCUCGUAUUAUACUUCUGUUUUGUUAAUUAAAUAUGAUUUCUGUAAAAUAUUAACUCUUUUCAGUCCUAGUAGUUCUUUCAGAAAUCUAGUUGCGAAUGAGGCGUCAUUUGCGCUGAGGAUUGUAUGGAUUGUGUUUAUGAGGUGUUUAUUCUGUGGAGUCUGGACUACAAAAGUUGCCGGGUGGAUCUUCUUGGACAUUGGAUGUGUUCACUGAAGCAAUUGUUGGAAAGUUGAAG
This 320-nucleotide long non-coding RNA is filed under the name Rosa chinensis. Its description in RNAcentral is "sRNA RchiOBHm_Chr2g0161691". The record is from RNAcentral. Lineage: Eukaryota; Viridiplantae; Streptophyta; Magnoliopsida; Rosales; Rosaceae.